GUGGGCGGCUAACAUGCAGUCGAACGGGGUAAUAAGCGGAAGUUUACGGAUGGAAGGUUAUAUACUUAGUGGCGCACGUGUGAGUAACGCGUGGGCAACCUGCCCCGUGCCGGGGGACACCGCCUGGAAACAGGCGCUAAUACCGCAUAAGCGCAUACAGCCGCAUGGGUGUAUGCGGAAAGCUCCGGCGGCUCGGGAUGGGCCCGCGCCCGAUUAGCCAGUUGGCGGGGUAACGGCCCACCAAAGCGACGAUCGGUAGCCGGCCUGAGAGGGCGGACGGCCACAUUGGGACUGAGAUACGGCCCAGACUCCUACGGGAGGCAGCAGUGGGGAAUAUUGGGCAAUGGACGCAAGUCUGACCCAGCAACGCCGCGUGAAGGAAGAAGGCUUUCGGGUUGUAAACUUCUUUUAAGGGGGAAGAGCAUAAGACGGUACCCCUUGAAUAAGCCACAGCUAACUACGUGCCAGCAGCCGCGGUAAUACGUAGGUGGCAAGCGUUGUCCGGAUUUACUGGGUGUAAAGGGCGUGCAGCCGGAGAGACAAGUCAGAUGUGAAAUCCACGGGCUCAACCCGUGAACUGCAUUUGAAACUGUUUCCCUUGAGUGUCGGAGAGGUAAUCGGAAUUCCUUGUGUAGCGGUGAAAUGCGUAGAUAUAAGGAGGAACACCAGUGGCGAAGGUGGAUUACUGGACGAUAACUGACGGUGAGGCGCGAAAGCGUGGGGAGCCUACAGGAUUAAAUACCCUGCUACUCCACGCUGUAAACGAUCGAUACUACGUGUGCGGGAAUUGACCCCCCUGCGUGCCCGAAUUAAACCCAUAAGUAUUCCCCCUGCGUAACUAACAACGUCA
RNAcentral lists this ribosomal RNA (850 nucleotides) under uncultured bacterium. RNAcentral describes it as "bacterial SSU rRNA". It matches the Rfam family "Bacterial small subunit ribosomal RNA", at positions 42 to 891 of the family's 1533-position model. The record is from RNAcentral.